Cygnus atratus (black swan) is the source of this 2089-nucleotide long non-coding RNA. RefSeq lists it as uncharacterized. NCBI's taxonomy places the organism in Eukaryota, Metazoa, Chordata, Aves, Anseriformes, Anatidae. The record is from RefSeq and is a predicted model, not a curated record. The transcript is spliced from 6 exons.
ACCCUUCUGAAUUAUUCUGCACGUGGCAGAGAAGGUACCAGUUCCAGAAGAGUCAGAACUGGACGGGAUCACAUAACUUUGUGCUGAUGGAGAAUGGAGGGAAGAUGUGGAAAGAAACAAAGAGGAUUUGGCUCUACAGAAUCCCAGUCCUGCUGAAUCCUCUCUUCUACAGUUAACCUACUGCAACCAUUCACAGAAAUACGUGUGAAGAGACAGUAAACCAGACUGCACCAGUACUUUCACCAGUGCCCAGACUUGCCCAGAGUCUGGGUGGAUUAGGAAGAGCUGCUAGAAGAAAUACAGAUUCAGCUGACAAUGCCUGCUGUGACUUGGGAUCAGCCAGUAGGAACUGAAGAAGGGCCUUUUUGAAGGUGUUCAAGUGGCAGACAAGAAGCAGGAAUAUGUAUUAAGCUGUUUCAGAGCAGUAUCAACUGAAAUAUGAUUUGAGAUUGGAACAAUAUAAUUACUAAUGUAGAAUCAGUGGGGAGACAGACUAUACAAAAUCUUUUUCUGGCUUUGCUGGUGUCUCCCUUCCAGGAAUAAGAACAUGUGUUUCUCUUGGUGUUCACACAAGAUUCCAUAUCAUGCUAAGAGCAGUCGGCAUUAUUCCCAGGCCAUGGAUGAACUGUUGUCAGGCCUUACAAUUAAAGCUCAGUAAGGCUGAGUUGGAGCUGAAAAAGAAGACCUUUGGAGAACACCAAGUUGCUGAGAAACAGUAGAAAAGUUGGAAAAUGACAGAACUGCUGUCUUUUGCAUGAGACAGAGCAUCACAGUUGCAGUCUCUUCCAACUAUUGUUCAGGAUAUUACCAUAGUGGUUUGAUGCUCUAUGCCAAAUACGUGAUCCCCGACAGCCAGGAAGGAAGGUCCACAAGAAACUCUGGGGGAAUCAGAGCUGUUCCUCUUUUUUAUGGCUUACCAGGAGAGGAUUUUUCUGUUGACAGGUUGGAGCUGUACCACACAACACAAUAUAGAUGUGCCUCAGUUCUCUCCAAAUUAACUGGUAACGCAUCCAAGUGAAGUACCAGGCUAAAGAAUCUACAUUGCUUGUAGCACAGAAACAGCUAUCUACUUCAGGUAUCUUUUUAUACUACUGUAUUGAUGUAUGUUAACUUAUGUGAUGAACAGUCAAGGUUGAGAUUUAUUGGUCUUGUGUUGGGGUCCACUGUUAAACUGAAGCUGUACCCCCUUUCAUGACUGAAAUUACUUCUGGGAUGAAAAGUCUCUACUACACAUCAGAAAAGUUUAUUUUGGAGGGACUGGAGUGGACUCUAACACAGCCUUCCCAGACAAAUAUUAUUGCAUGGCUACUUGUAUUUAUAUGAAGAUCUGUGCUACUUGGUGCUUUGUGACAAUCUCAAGAGAAAUGAUCAGUCUCAAUGAAGAAACAGAGAUGAGCCUCUGUGGAUACUCUGAGGUCACUCAAGCAGGAGUCUUCUCAUCUGCAAAGUGAGAGUACUUUCAGACAGGCAUUCCAGACAAAAGAAACUUUAAAACAUCACUGAAAAAAAUACUUUCUGGUAAACCACCUAUGAAAACAGUGCACAAAGUUAUUUAUGAAUUAUCCUUUCAUAAAAUUAAAACUAAAUUGGUAAAAUCUUGAGAAUCAGCAUUUUACCCUCAUACUCUGUGUGGGUAUUACCAAAACUGAGACCUCAAAACUACUCUUCCUCCUCUAAUAAAAUUCUUCAGGAAAAAAAAUAAUGGUUUCUAGAGUUCUGCUGCUUGUGAUAGAAGCAAUACUGUACAUUUUCACAUGCUUCCAAAGGAAGGCUAUGGUAACUGCGUGUCUGUGUGCAUUACUAAUAAGAAUUUUUAAGUGCUCAUUUUUAAGAAUUGCAUUCCAGUAGAUUGCUUACAGGAAACCUCAUUUAUGCACUGCUUCUUUUUUCCUAGGGAAAUGCAAAAUUAAGUUAUUAUUACAUUUUAUUGCGUACAAAAUUAGCUUGAUUACUAAAUUAAAAAGGAAUUCCAACAGAAACAGAUAUAACAAUAGUAUGGCAAAUAAAAUCCUUAUGGGUCUUUCUUAUCGUAUUUGGAAAAUGAAGAACAAUUAGCCACAUAUUAUAGUAGGACCUGUAUUGUUGGAUG